RNAcentral lists this ribosomal RNA (253 nucleotides) under uncultured bacterium. Its description in RNAcentral is "partial 16S ribosomal RNA". It matches the Rfam family "Bacterial small subunit ribosomal RNA", at positions 524 to 776 of the family's 1533-position model. The record is from RNAcentral.
UACGUAGGUGGCAAGCGUUGUUCGGAAUUAUUGGGCGUAAAGGGCGCGUAGGCGGUCUUGUAAGUCAGCUGUGAAAGCCCGGGGCUCAACCCCGGAGGGUCGGCUGAUACUGCAGGACUGGAGUACGGAAGAGGUAGCUGGAAUUCCCGGUGUAGCGGUGAAAUGCGCAGAUAUCGGGAGGAACACCGGUGGCGAAGGCGGUUCUCUGGGCCUGACCUGACGCUGAGGAGCGAAAGCGUGGGGAGCGAACAGG